CGGCCCCCACAACGGCUUCCUGGCGUGGCGCGGCCCUGAACCCAAUGGAGCA
This is a regulatory RNA element of Paracoccus sphaerophysae, 52 nucleotides long. It matches the Rfam family "SAM/SAH riboswitch aptamer". The record is from Rfam. Lineage: Bacteria; Pseudomonadati; Pseudomonadota; Alphaproteobacteria; Rhodobacterales; Paracoccaceae.